GUCCAUUCCAACACCUGACCACUCUCUUAGAGAAGGAUUUCCUAACAUCCAACCUGAACCUCCCCUGGCACAACUUGAGGCCAGGCAUCUGUCCAUUUACAUGAAGCUUUUAGAUUUUAAGAGUGGCUCCCAUUUUUUUUUGCCCCACAUAGAAUGGCAGGUUGCUUUAGCUUUACAGCAACCCCCUUGCCUUUUUUUCUGUGUCAUUGACCAACUUGAUUCUACACAAUAAAGGUGACUGGAAUUUGCAGGAGUAUCCUGAUUGCAUGAAUGAUAUGCAUAGAAACUCUCAUCACUUGAGGAGUCCAUUACGGAAUUAUAUCUUUAACUCACGUGCAAAACUAAUCAUAUGAAGAAUGUUCAUGCUGUAGUUGGUUGAGAAGAACAAUACAGUAAAUGGCCUUCCUUCUCUACCAGUUAGUUGAGAUCUUCUGUGCCAGAGGAGCUUUUGAUUAUGAUCUGGAUUCACAAUUGAUGUAAGUGUGGAGAUUAAUUAAGUGAAGAAGGCAUACCCC
This 515-nucleotide long non-coding RNA is filed under the name Gallus gallus (chicken). RNAcentral describes it as "lncRNA (ENSGALG00010007241.1)". Lineage: Eukaryota; Metazoa; Chordata; Aves; Galliformes; Phasianidae. The record is from RNAcentral.